UGAAGGAAUGGUCCACACUUAACUGGGU
Molecule: non-coding RNA, 28 nt
Filed under: Homo sapiens (human)
Lineage: Eukaryota; Metazoa; Chordata; Mammalia; Primates; Hominidae
Source: RNAcentral